ACUCUGAAAGCCAGUACUGAACGAAAGAACGAGCGUACUCAUCUUCAGGUGGGAGAGGACUGGUUUUAGUGAGCGUCUCGUCUACAUGUUCAUAUUCACCUUCUGAUAUAAAUGAUUCAGGUGAAUCUGCUCUAUCCUCAGCAAACGAUUCCUCAAGACAAAAUCCACACAAUUCAAUGGCUGACGUAACAGAACAGAGGGAAGAUCUACGCUCUGCAGUCAUCACAACAUCUGGGAUUCUAGGUCCAUAGUGGGGAACUGGAGAGUCAGGUGAGAGAGGCCUGUAUUCAUUCACUGACGCAACAGAUUCAGGUGAAGAUGGCCUCAUGUCAGUAAAUAAGUGGUCAAGAUAUAAAAGGACUCCAUCCAUGUCUGAACCGAGUGACUCGGGAGAAAGAGGUCUGUACUCAGGAAGGGACGGCAACUGGGUGAACUCCCAUUCAGCUAAGACGGGAGAAAGAGGUCUGUACUCAGGAAGGGACGGCAACUGGGUGAACUCCCAUUCAGCUAGGACGGGAGAAAGAGGUCUGUACUCAGGAAGGGACGGCAACUGGGUGAACUCCCAUUCAGCUAGGACGGGGGAAGGGGUUCUGAUUUCUGUCUCUACUGGCUGGGAUAUUAGCAAAUGAGGUUUAUGCAAAGUAUCUGUGACUGUCUGGUCAGUGAUGUUAGAGUGUUGUCGUGAGGAGAUAUAUUGUUUUGUCACCUCAACUGCUGUGGCUUCAAAGACACUAGGCAUGCCAAAGUUGGAUUCAUGAAAUUGAACAGGCCCGAAAUCCACACAAUGUUCCCUCUGACAGUCAAGAACCUGUCUAACCUUGUAUCUUUGUCCCGAAUGUUCGAAAACACCAGUCUUACUAUCGUAGGUUUCACCUUCGUUCGCUGGGUCAUACCUAUGGGACAUUAGUUUGAUGGGAACUGCCCUGUAAACUAGUCUAUAUUCUGGAGACACCGGCCGCACCUCAGAGAGUCCAUGUACUGGCUGGGAUGAAGAUUCAUCCGAGUCUAGUGAUAGGCCUGUUUGUACAGCUUUAGACACCAUGAACUGAGGUAUGAAGGCCCAAUGGACAGUUGGGAUCUUUUCUAAAGAACCUGUAUCAUCAUCCCGCUCUGAUGUUUUAGGAAAACUACCAUCAUCCUCAUCAUCACCACCCUCUGAACAGAUGGAAAUAGGUGAAUCUGGUCUGUCCUCAGUAAAUAAUUCCUCAGGGUAAAGUACUGAGAAUUCAACAUCUGAGGUGACUGAUUCUGGUGAUGAACACCUUCUUCCAGUGAAAGACAAAUAAUAAUCACAACAAUGUGAUCUGAAAUCAGGAACAGGAGAGUCUGGAGAGAGAGGCCUGUACUCAUUUAACGACGUUAUAGAUUCAGGUGAAGAUGGUCUAGACUCUGCAAACAAGAGCUCAAGGAAGGUAUAGCAAUUUUCUGAUGUUAUUGAUUCUGGAGACAGGGGUCUGAAUUUUAUCAAACCUCCUUCAGUUGCUUCUAUGAAUUCACUCUCUGGCACAAAAGAUUCUGGAGAAUAUGGUCUCUCUUCAUUGACAAAAUCCUCAAGAUAGAAGCCAGAUCCUUCAAUGUCUGAGGUGACUGAUUGUGGUGACGAAGAUCUGCUAAACAAUGACACUGACGACUCAAUUAUUGUGGGUCUAAAUUGUGGGAUUGGGGAAUCAGGAGAUAGAGCUCGAUAUUCGUCAUUUGAAGUGAUAGAAUCAGGUGAAGAUGGUCUAGACUCAGCAACCAAGAGCUCAAGGAAGGAAUACCCAUCUUCUGAAGUUACUGAUUCUGGUGACCAGGGUCUGAGUUUCAUUAGACCUCUUUCAACUGACUCAACAAAUUCACUCUCUGAUAUAAAUGAUUCAGGUGAAUCUGCUCUGUCUUCAGCAAACAGUUCCUCAAGACAGAACUCAGAGAAUUCAAUAUCUGAAGCUACUGAUUCUGGUGAUGAACAUCUACUUCCAGUGAAAGACAAAUAACAAUCGCAACAUUGAGGCAUGAAGUGAGGAACUGGAGAGUCAGGAGAGAGGGGCCUGUACUCAUCAAAUGAUGCAACAGACUCUGGAGAGGAUGAUCUAGACUCGGAAAACAAGAGCUCAAGGAAGGUAAAGUCCCCAUCUGAAGUUAUUGAUUCUGGUGAGAGUGGUCGAUACUCAGAUAGGCUACUUUGAUCUCUCACAGUACAUUCACUAUCUGAAGGGGAAUCUGGUCUGUUCAAACCACGAUAUUCAAGAUCUGAAGUUACAGACAAAGGUGAUGUAGACCUACACACAUCGUACAACAAGUAAUAAUCACAAUGUCCAGGUCUGAAUUGUGAACCACUUUUUGAAAAGACUGACGCAGGAGGUAAAGUAUUGACUUCAGAUGUAUCUGGGUGUUUCAAAUUGGAGUCAUCUACUUUAUUAAGAGAAUUAGCUGGUUCCUGCUUAACUGGCAUCAUUACAGUGACUGGUAACAACGACAAACAUUUAUCAUCACUUAAGUCAAGCUGUAUAAAUGCUGUUUUAGCUGCAACUGGUAACGUGGUUUUAGCCUCAACAGAGUCUUGUGUUGCCAUUGUUGUGGUAGAUAAUAGGCCUGUUUUGGUGUCUCUGUGCUCAGCUUCAGAGUGGACUAAGGCAGGUGAGAUGAAUUUGUUGAUAUAUGUUUCAGAUUGAAUAGAGUGAGGGAGAGAAUCAGAAACUGGAGAAGCUGAUUCAUGCAAGACUGGAACAAGUUCUGCUUCCAAUUGAUACAGAAAUUCAGUGUCUGAAUAUAUUGAUUCAGGAGAAUCUGCUCUGUCCUCAGCAAUCAAUUCCUCAACGCUAAAUCCAGAGAAUUCAAUGUCUGAUGUG
Oncorhynchus keta (chum salmon) is the source of this 2828-nucleotide long non-coding RNA. RefSeq lists it as uncharacterized. Lineage: Eukaryota; Metazoa; Chordata; Actinopteri; Salmoniformes; Salmonidae. The transcript has 4 exons. The record is from RefSeq and is a predicted model, not a curated record.